This 707-nucleotide unclassified non-coding RNA is filed under the name uncultured Inocybe. Its description in RNAcentral is "sequence contains ITS1, 5.8S rRNA gene and ITS2". The stretch from base 214 to 367 matches the Rfam family "5.8S ribosomal RNA". The record is from RNAcentral. Lineage: Eukaryota; Fungi; Basidiomycota; Agaricomycetes; Agaricales; Cortinariaceae.
AAGUCGUAACAAGGUUUCCGUAGGUGAACCUGCGGAAGGAUCAUUAUUGAAUUAAACUUGAAACGGGUUGUUGCUGGCUCUCCUCCUUGGGGUUGCAUGUGCACGCUUGUUUUUUUCUUUAUUUCUCCAACUGUGCACGAAUUGUAGACCUGGUCUAUGUUUUUCACAAUCUCUGAAUGUAUUAGAAUGGCUGGGAACAAAAAAUAUACAUACAACUUUCAGCAACGGAUCUCUUGGCUCUCGCAUCGAUGAAGAACGCAGCGAAAUGCGAUAAGUAAUGUGAAUUGCAGAAUUCAGUGAAUCAUCGAAUCUUUGAACGCAUCUUGCGCUCCUUGGUAUUCUGAGGAGCAUGCCUGUUUGAGUGUCAUUUAAAACUUCUCAACUGCUUCUGAGCAGCUUGGAAAUGGGGGGUGUGCAGGCUAAGUGUAGUCUGCUCCCCUGAAAUGUAUUAGUGGUGUCUGGGCGGACUAACCACAGGUGUGAUAAAUUAUCAAUCAAUGCCUUGGUUAAUUUUGCUGCUGCUUCCAACCCUUAUAAAUGACCAACUUGACCUCAAAUCAGGUAGGAUUACCCGCUGAACUUAAGCAUAUCAAUAAGCGGAGGAAAAAGAAACUAACAAGGAUUCCCCUAGUAACUGCGAGUGAAGCGGGAAGAGCUCAAAUUUGAAAUCUGAUGGUUGUUGACCGUCCGAGUUGUAAUCUAGAGAA